This 1109-nucleotide ribosomal RNA is filed under the name Sesame phyllody phytoplasma. RNAcentral's name for it is "bacterial SSU rRNA". It matches the Rfam family "Bacterial small subunit ribosomal RNA", at positions 208 to 1325 of the family's 1533-position model. The record is from RNAcentral. Lineage: Bacteria; Bacillati; Mycoplasmatota; Mollicutes; Acholeplasmatales; Acholeplasmataceae.
AAUAGGUAUGCUUAGGGAGGAGCUUGCGUCACAUUAGUUAGUUGGUGGGGUAAAGGCCUACCAAGACUAUGAUGUGUAGCCGGGCUGAGAGGUUGAACGGCCACAUUGGGACUGAGACACGGCCCAAACUCCUACGGGAGGCAGCAGUAGGGAAUUUUCGGCAAUGGAGGAAACUCUGACCGAGCAACGCCGCGUGAACGAUGAAGUAUUUCGGUACGUAAAGUUCUUUUAUUAGGGAAGAAUAAAUGAUGGAAAAAUCAUUCUGACGGUACCUAAUGAAUAAGCCCCGGCUAACUAUGUGCCAGCAGCCGCGGUAAUACAUAGGGGGCAAGCGUUAUCCGGAAUUAUUGGGCGUAAAGGGUGCGUAGGCGGUUAAAUAAGUUUAUGGUCUAAGUGCAAUGCUCAACAUUGUGAUGCUAUAAAAACUGUUUAGCUAGAGUAAGAUAGAGGCAAGUGGAAUUCCAUGUGUAGUGGUAAAAUGCGUAAAUAUAUGGAGGAACACCAGUAGCGAAGGCGGCUUGCUGGGUCUUUACUGACGCUGAGGCACGAAAGCGUGGGGAGCAAACAGGAUUAGAUACCCUGGUAGUCCACGCCGUAAACGAUGAGUACUAAACGUUGGGUAAAACCAGUGUUGAAGUUAACACAUUAAGUACUCCGCCUGAGUAGUACGUACGCAAGUAUGAAACUUAAAGGAAUUGACGGGACUCCGCACAAGCGGUGGAUCAUGUUGUUUAAUUCGAAGGUACCCGAAAAACCUCACCAGGUCUUGACAUGCUUCUGCAAAGCUGUAGAAACACAGUGGAGGUUAUCAGUUGCACAGGUGGUGCAUGGUUGUCGUCAGCUCGUGUCGUGAGAUGUUGGGUUAAGUCCCGCAACGAGCGCAACCCUUAUUGUUAGUUACCAGCACGUAAUGGUGGGGACUUUAGCAAGACUGCCAGUGAUAAAUUGGAGGAAGGUGGGGACGACGUCAAAUCAUCAUGCCCCUUAUGACCUGGGCUACAAACGUGAUACAAUGGCUGUUACAAAGGGUAGCUGAAGCGCAAGUUUUUGGCGAAUCUCAAAAAAACAGUCUCAGUUCGGAUUGAAGUCUGCAACUCGACUUCAUGAAG